AUUGAACGCUGGCGGCAUGCCUUACACAUGCAAGUCGAACGGUAACAGGUUAAGCUGACGAGUGGCGAACGGGUGAGUAAUGUAUCGGAACGUGCCCAGUCGUGGGGGAUAACUGCUCGAAAGAGCAGCUAAUACCGCAUACGACCUGAGGGUGAAAGCGGGGGAUCGCAAGACCUCGCGCGAUUGGAGCGGCCGAUAUCAGAUUAGGUAGUUGGCGAGGUAAAGGCUCACCAAGCCGACGAUCUGUAGCUGGUCUGAGGGGACGACCAGCCACACUGGGAAUGAGCGACGGGCCAGGCGCAUACGGGAGGCGGCAGGGGGGAAUGUUGGACAAUGGGCGCAGGCCUGAUCCAGCCAUCACGAGGGAGGGAAGAAUGCCGUCGGGUGCUAGAGCCCGUUUGUUGGGCAAGAAAAGAAGCAGGCUAAUAACCGGCUGUCAUGACGGUACCUAAAGAAUAAGAAACGGCUAACUUCGUG
Molecule: ribosomal RNA, 477 nt
Filed under: uncultured bacterium
Lineage: Bacteria
Description: partial 16S ribosomal RNA
Rfam family: Bacterial small subunit ribosomal RNA
Source: RNAcentral